UACGGAGGGGGCAAGCGUUGUUCGGAGUUACUGGGCGUAAAGCGCGCGUAGGCGGUGCGGUAAGUCAGUGGUUAAAGGCUGCAGCUCAACUGCAGUAAGGCCUUUGAUACUAUCGUGCUAGAGUGUCAGAGAGGAUGGCGGAAUUCCCGGUGUAGCGGUGAAAUCCGUAGAUAUCGGGAGGAACACCAGAGGCGAAGGCGGCCACCUGGGCCAAGACUGACGCUGAGGUGCGAAAGCGUGGGGAGCAAACAGG
RNAcentral lists this ribosomal RNA (253 nucleotides) under uncultured microorganism. Its description in RNAcentral is "partial 16S ribosomal RNA". It matches the Rfam family "Bacterial small subunit ribosomal RNA", at positions 524 to 776 of the family's 1533-position model. The record is from RNAcentral.